UACGUAGGGGGCUAGCGUUGUCCGGAAUCAUUGGGCGUAAAGCGCGUGUAGGCGGCCCGGUAAGUCCGCUGUGGAAGUCGGGGGCUCAACCCUCGAAUGCCGGUGGAUACUGUCGGGCUCGAGUGCGGAAGAGGCGAGUGGAAUUCCUGGUGUAGCGGUGAAAUGCGCAGAUAUCAGGAGGAACACCGAUUGCGAAGGCAGCUCGCUGGGACGUUACUGACGCUGAGACGCGAAAGCGUGGGGAGCAAACAGG
RNAcentral lists this ribosomal RNA (253 nucleotides) under uncultured bacterium. Its description in RNAcentral is "partial 16S ribosomal RNA". It matches the Rfam family "Bacterial small subunit ribosomal RNA", at positions 524 to 776 of the family's 1533-position model. The record is from RNAcentral.